CCCGACGCAAGCAGCUUCAACAGCGCCUCCUGUGCUGCCGACAAACCAGCCAGUUCCUUUCUCUCUGUCUCUCUCUCUCUCUCUCUAUCGUGCUUUCUCCCUCCUCUCCCCAUUACCUCCUCCACCUACAUUUUCGUCUCGAACGGCGUCGUUCUCCCUCUGCCGUAGCAUGCACCACUUCUACCCCUCUCUUCCUAUCGGUCUCCCCUUCGUCCCUCCUGUUUCUCUACUCUCCAACAACCCUCCUCCCUCGUGUACUACCUCAUCUCUCUAACGACUUGUUGUUAAUGUUGUAUCAACUCAACCUUGCAAACAGGCUCGCACGCGAACUCUAUACCUUCGUCGUCGUCGUCGUCGUCGUCGUCGUCGUCGUCUCCUCACCUAACGCCACGAGACGCCACUGUGUAUUUACUAUCGAUACGGAGGGUAGGGUAAAUCCAGAACGUCGAUCGCUUAGACGAUUCGUCACAAUGUCGCGGUGAUAAUAAACGGCAAAUCUGCAUGAUUUUGCUUUCCGUCGGAUUAGUUCCAGAAAAUCAGCGUCGGAAGGAA
RNAcentral lists this long non-coding RNA (552 nucleotides) under Polistes fuscatus (common paper wasp). RNAcentral's name for it is "uncharacterized LOC122519160". Lineage: Eukaryota; Metazoa; Arthropoda; Insecta; Hymenoptera; Vespidae. The record is from RNAcentral.